Molecule: transfer RNA, 76 nt
Filed under: Helicobacteraceae bacterium
Lineage: Bacteria; Pseudomonadati; Campylobacterota; Epsilonproteobacteria; Campylobacterales; Helicobacteraceae
Also listed under: 3 other names
Description: tRNA-Trp
Rfam family: tRNA
About the family: Transfer RNA (tRNA) molecules are approximately 80 nucleotides in length. Their secondary structure includes four short double-helical elements and three loops (D, anti-codon, and T loops).
Source: RNAcentral
AGGCGAUUAGCUCCAAUGGUAGAGCACCGGAUUCCAAAUCCGGGUGUUGUGGGUUCGAGUCCCCCAUCGCCUGCCA